Molecule: ribosomal RNA, 506 nt
Filed under: uncultured bacterium
Lineage: Bacteria
Description: bacterial SSU rRNA
Rfam family: Bacterial small subunit ribosomal RNA
Source: RNAcentral
ACGUAAUAGAUACCCGGGUAGUCCACGCCGUAAACGAUGAUAACUAGCUGUCCGGGCACUUGGUGCUUGGGUGGCGCAGCUAAACGCAUUAAGUUAUCCGCCUGGGGAGUACGGCCACAAGGUUAAAACUCAAAGGAAUUGACGGGGGCCUGCACAAGCGGUGGAGCAUGUGGUUUAAAUUCGAAGCAACGCGCAGAACCUUACCAGCGUUUGACAUGGUAGGACGGUUUCCAGAGACGGAUGCCUUCCCUUCGGGGACCUACACACAGGUGCUGCAUGGCUGUCGUCAGCUCGUGUCGUGAGAUGUUGGGUUAAGUCCCGCAACGAGCGCAACCCUCGUCCUUAGUUGCCAUCAUUUAGUUGGGCACUCUAAGGAAACCGCCGGUGAUAAGCCGGAGGAAGGUGGGGAUGACGUCAAGUCCUCAUGGCCCUUACGCGCUGGGCUACACGCGUGCUACAAUGGCGGUGACAAUGGGCAGCAAUCCCGCGAGGGUGAGCUAAUCUCC